GGUAUAGCUCAGUGGAAAAGCAUGUGCUUAGCGUGCAUGAGGUCCUGGGUUCAAUCCCCAGUACC
RNAcentral lists this transfer RNA (65 nucleotides) under Camelus dromedarius (Arabian camel). It matches the Rfam family "tRNA". Rfam says of the family: Transfer RNA (tRNA) molecules are approximately 80 nucleotides in length. Their secondary structure includes four short double-helical elements and three loops (D, anti-codon, and T loops). Further hydrogen bonds mediate the characteristic L-shaped molecular structure. tRNAs have two regions of fundamental functional importance: the anti-codon, which is responsible for specific mRNA codon recognition, and the 3' end, to which the tRNAs corresponding amino acid is attached (by aminoacyl-tRNA synthetases). tRNAs cope with the degeneracy of the genetic code in two manners: having more than one tRNA (with a specific anti-codon) for a particular amino acid; and 'wobble' base-pairing, i.e. permitting non-standard base-pairing at the 3rd anti-codon position. The record is from Rfam by way of RNAcentral. Lineage: Eukaryota; Metazoa; Chordata; Mammalia; Artiodactyla; Camelidae.